Molecule: non-coding RNA, 76 nt
Organism: Myotis lucifugus (little brown bat)
Lineage: Eukaryota; Metazoa; Chordata; Mammalia; Chiroptera; Vespertilionidae
Source: Rfam
GAGACACCCUUAUGGGACAAGUCUUGCUUCAGAGGGGCUUUGGUGCUCACUGAGUCUGCCCCCUGAGUGUGUCCCU